CGUACACACGUCAUACAAAUAGGCGUGGUACGAGAAGGGUUGCCAACCCGCGAGGGGGAGCCAAUCCCAUAAAGCCAUUCGUAGUCCGGAUCGCAGUCUGCAACUCGACUGCGUGAAGUCGGAAUCGCUAGUAAUCGUGGAUCAGAAUGUCACGGUGAAUACGUUCCCGGGUCUU
Molecule: ribosomal RNA, 175 nt
Filed under: uncultured Acidovorax sp.
Lineage: Bacteria; Pseudomonadati; Pseudomonadota; Betaproteobacteria; Burkholderiales; Comamonadaceae
Description: partial 16S ribosomal RNA
Rfam family: Bacterial small subunit ribosomal RNA
Source: RNAcentral